RNAcentral lists this ribosomal RNA (453 nucleotides) under uncultured Barnesiella sp. RNAcentral's name for it is "bacterial SSU rRNA". It matches the Rfam family "Bacterial small subunit ribosomal RNA", at positions 341 to 792 of the family's 1533-position model. Lineage: Bacteria; Pseudomonadati; Bacteroidota; Bacteroidia; Bacteroidales; Barnesiellaceae. The record is from RNAcentral.
ACGGAAGGCAGCAGUGAGGAAUAUUGGUCAAUGGGCGGAAGCCUGAACCAGCCAAGUAGCGUGCAGGAUGACGGCCCUAUGGGUUGUAAACCUCUUUUGUCGGGGAGUAACGUGCGGUACGUGUACCGUAUUGAGAGUACCCGAAGAAAAAGCAUCGGCUAACUCCGUGCCAGCAGCCGCGGUAAUACGGAGGAUGCGAGCGUUAUCCGGAUUUAUUGGGUUUAAAGGGAGCGCAGGCGGCGCGUCAAGUCAGCGGUAAAAUGUCGGGGCGCAACCCGGGCCGGCCGUUGAAACUGCCGUGCUCGAGUUCGUGCGAGGAGAGCGGAAUGCGUGGUGUAGCGGUGAAAUGCAUAGAUAUCACGCAGAACGCCGAUUGCGAAGGCAGCCCUCCAGCACUGGACUGACGCUGAGGCUCGAAAGCGUGGGUAUCGAACAGGAUUAGAUACCCUGGUA